This is a long non-coding RNA of Gymnodraco acuticeps, 2002 nucleotides long. RefSeq lists it as uncharacterized. The record is from RefSeq and is a predicted model, not a curated record. The transcript is spliced from 2 exons. Lineage: Eukaryota; Metazoa; Chordata; Actinopteri; Perciformes; Bathydraconidae.
AGAAUACUGACACACAGAGUACUAAGACACAGAGUACUGAGACACAGAGUACUAAUACACAGAGUACUAAUACACAGAGUACUAAGUCACAGAGUACUAAUACACAGAGUACUAAUACACAUAGUACUAACACACUGAGUACUAAUACACCUGUGUGAAGUUAAACUAACUUCCUGUCUGUGAAGCUAACUUCCUGUCUGUGAAGCUAACUUCCUGUCUGUGAAGCUAACUUCCUGUCUGUGAAGCGAACUUCCUGUCUGUAAAGCUCACUUCCUGUCUGUGAGGCUAACUUCCUGUCUGUGAAGCUAACGUCCUGUCUGUGGAACUAACUUCCUGUCUGUGAAACUCACUUCCUGUCUGUGAAGCUAACGUCCUGUCUGUGAAACUAACUUCCUGUCUGUGAAGCUCACUUCCUGUCUGUGAAACUAACUUCCUGUCUGCGUACAGAGCUGUGGGGGGGGAGCUCGCAGGAGGCGCAGAUCUGCUAUAUACGCUGAUGGGAACGCGGCCCUCAUCACUAUGGGAUGGAGAAACUGAAGAGCUUUGCAUGCUGAUUCCUGACGGUGGAAAUGAAGGUCUUGUUGCUGUGAAACUGAGCCGGCACAUUAUCUGAGAUUAUUCCUGAGGACUCCAGUUAUUCUGAGCUUUAACUUCUUUAUGAUGUGGGGGUAAUAAUCAAAAGGGGUUACUUUACUAUGUGCACUGGUAUAUAUAUAUAUAUAUAUAUAUAUAUAUAUAUAUAUAUAUAUAAUUUCUUCUUUAAUAUACUGUCUGUUUUUAAAUGUACACAGCCUGAAAGCUAGCUGAGUGUUAAAGAAGGGAAACAGGAAGUGAAUGAGAACUGAAAUGUGGAUUACUAUCCAGGAAGAGGUUCAGAUCAGAUGUAAUUCCUCAGAGCAUGCUGUUGUACUUUUAUUAUGAUUUUAUUACUAUGAGCAAAACUUGUAUUACUUUAUUUAGUCCAAUGAUAAUACGAUUGAGAUAUGUAACAUCUUUAGGGGAAUAAUAGAAGUGAAGCAAACAGCAGCAUUACCAACAACAUCCCAUCCAAUGAAACACACAGGAUCAGCUGAUACGAGGAACUCCUACACAACACACAUCAUUCAGUGAAAGAUCACCUCUCUGUCAUUAGACCCAGAUUAGAUGAGACGUAUUACCUGUCACUGCUGGCAACCUCAGGACAUAUACGAGUACCGCUCACAUCAGAUGACGGUGUAGCCAAACAUAGAUGUAUUAUUCAAUGAUCCCAAUCCACAGCAACAUCGUCUAAAACUCUACGCUCAUUUGAUAUAUUUGUUUUUCCAAGAAUAAAAUGAAGCGCAGAUCAAAAAUGAAAACACGAAGAAGCACAAAACUUCUUAACUUGAGACGUUGUGAGUUUUAAAGAAGUGAAUUAUUAUCAGACUGAAGUCAUUCCCAAUGGAGAGGUUGUUGCACACUGUUGUACCUUUACUAGAGUGUUAUUACUAUGAGCCAAACAUAUAUUACUUUAUUUAGUAAUACAUGUAUUAUAUUUAGAAAUGUAACAUCUUAAUAUUUGAUGAAGAAAAAGGAUCAGAAAAGUGUUUUAUUAGGAUGAUUUUAUUAGUAUACGCAGACAGGUUAGGGUUAGUCCAGCAAUUGAUGUGACGUACGAAUAAGAUUCUGUCAUUGAGCAAUUAUAUCUAUAAAUGUAACAAUUAGAUUUAGAAACACCUUUAGUGAAAUAACAGAAGUGUCUAAUGAAGGGUUUAGAGGGGUGAUUUUACUAUGUGCACUGGAAUAUAUAUAUACAUAAUUUCUUCUUUAAUAUAUUGUCUGUUUUUAAAUGUGCACAGCCUGAAAGCUACCUGAGUGUUAAAGAAGGGAAACAGGAAGUGAAUGAGAACUGAAAUGUGGAUUACUAUCCAGGAAGAGGAUCAGAUCAGAUGUAAUUCCUCAGAGCACGCUGUUGUACCUUUUUAUUGUGAUUUUAUUACUAAUGGAACCAAAAACAAUGAAUAAAGUGAGUGGGAAAAAGAAA